This 426-nucleotide long non-coding RNA is filed under the name Sorghum bicolor (sorghum). RNAcentral describes it as "long non-coding RNA (SBIC_LNC013193)". Lineage: Eukaryota; Viridiplantae; Streptophyta; Magnoliopsida; Poales; Poaceae. The record is from RNAcentral.
GGCAAUGUCAGGGCUGACUCUUAAAAAAGAAAUACGAGGAAAUAAAAAGGGGCAAGUGCCCGGAACCUCGAAAGAAAAGAAAAAGUGAGACGGGAGGUAAAAAUGGACAAGUGUCCGACAGUAGAAUUAGGGGUACAAGAUACCCACCUGAGAGGAUAGAAAAAAGAAGAGCAUCUCAUUCUCCUCAUAAAGUUUCAAAAAAAAGCAAGGAAGGUAUAUAUCCCCUCAAAAGAGCAAAAGUAGAAUUAGACUUUCACCAUUGUUAUCACCACUACCACCAUACACCAUUCAUUCGCCACACAUGCACAUCUUGAUUUGACUUAUUGAUUUGUUUCUUUGGAUCCAUGGUUUGACUAUACAACACAUGUCUUGUAAGUAUGUAUACUUUAUCUCCCACCUAUGAGCUCUAGAUAUUAAAGCCUUAUU